AUGGGGAGCGAGUGGGCGGGGAGAGAGUGACGGUUGGAGGAGGAGGAGAAGCGCGGACAUGGCGGCGGCGGUGAGGAGUUGAGCAGUCGGGGAGGGAGCGGCCCCGAGAGGCGGGACAACUCGGCGCUGAUGGCGGAUCGGUUUGUUUCUGGUGGGAAAUGGCGUUGUGGCCGCACCUUCUCGAGCUGCUGGUGACCGGGAGCAGCUGUUUUGCAGAGAGAGA
Callorhinchus milii (elephant shark) is the source of this 223-nucleotide long non-coding RNA. RefSeq lists it as uncharacterized. The record is from RefSeq and is a predicted model, not a curated record. NCBI's taxonomy places the organism in Eukaryota, Metazoa, Chordata, Chondrichthyes, Chimaeriformes, Callorhinchidae. The transcript has 2 exons.